This 509-nucleotide long non-coding RNA is filed under the name Nicotiana benthamiana. Its description in RNAcentral is "long non-coding RNA (NBEN_LNC033888)". The record is from RNAcentral. Lineage: Eukaryota; Viridiplantae; Streptophyta; Magnoliopsida; Solanales; Solanaceae.
ACUAGCUUAUAUUCAAAAUAUUUUAAGAUACACAAUCGUAUAUACCCCACGCGCAGUGCCACGCGCCACUUUCCAUUCCUGGGCACGUUCCUUUUUCCAGCUUCUACCCCAAAACCCCCCCGCUUUUCAUACCCCAAAAAAGAGAGAUUUUUCUUAGAUCUCUGCGAAUGCGACAAUGAGCCACCGGCAACGUUCACCGCCGGCGGCGAGACAAGUACCUAUAGACGAAGAACCUUACAACAUCAUCCCAAUCCAUAACCUCUUAGCUGACCAUCCUUCUCUCCGUUUCCCCGAGGUACGGCGUUCACCGCCGGCGGCGAGACAAGUCCCUAUAGAUGAAGAACCUUACAACAUCAUCCCAAUCCAUAACCUCUUAGCUGACCAUCCUUCUCUCCGUUUCCCGGAGGUACGCGCCGCCGCCGCCGCUUUACGUUCCGUUGGCGACCUACGUAGACCUGCAUUCAGGCCUUGGAAACCUCACUAUGAUCUCCUUGACUGGCUCGCCCUUU